UCAGUCGACUCCUACGGGGAGGCAGCAGUGGGGGAAUAUUGCACAAUGGGCGCAAGCCUGAUGCAGCCAUGCCGCGUGUGUGAAGAAGGCCUUCGGGUUGUAAAGCACUUUCAGUCGUGAGGAAGGUAGUGUAGUUAAUAGCUGCAUUAUUUGACGUUAGCGACAGAAGAAAGCACCGGCUAACUCCGUGCCAGCAGCCGCGGUAAUACGGAGGGUGCGAGCGUUAAUCGGAAUUACUGGGCGUAAAGCGCAUGCAGGUGGUUUGUUAAGUCAGAUGUGAAAGCCCGGGGCUCAACCUCGGAAUUGCAUUUGAAACUGGCAGACUAGAGUACUGUAGAGGGGGGUAGGAAUUUCAGGUGUAGCGGUGAAAUGCGUAGAGGUCUGAAGGAAUACCGGUGGCGAAGGCGGCCCCCUGGACAGAUACUGACACUCAGAUGCGAAAGCGUGGGGAGCAAACAGGAUUAGAUACCCUGGUAG
RNAcentral lists this ribosomal RNA (477 nucleotides) under uncultured bacterium. RNAcentral's name for it is "bacterial SSU rRNA". It matches the Rfam family "Bacterial small subunit ribosomal RNA", at positions 328 to 793 of the family's 1533-position model. The record is from RNAcentral.